RNAcentral lists this ribosomal RNA (499 nucleotides) under uncultured bacterium. Its description in RNAcentral is "bacterial SSU rRNA". It matches the Rfam family "Bacterial small subunit ribosomal RNA", at positions 30 to 525 of the family's 1533-position model. The record is from RNAcentral.
AUUGAACGCUGGCGGAAUGCUUUACACAUGCAAGUCGAACGGUAGAGGGGGCAACCCCUUGAGAGUGGCGAACGGGUGAGUAAUAUAUCGGAACGUACCCUAGAGUGGGGAUAACGCAGCGAAAGUUGCGCUAAUACCGCAUACGAUCUACGGAUGAAAGUGGGGGAUCGCAAGACCUCAUGCUCAUGGAGCGGCCGAUAUCUGAUUAGCUAGUUGGUGGGGUAAAGGCCUACCAAGGCAUCGAUCAGUAGCUGGUCUGAGAGGACGACCAGCCACACUGGGACUGAGACACGGCCCAAACUCCUACGGGAGGCAGCAGUGGGGAAUUUUGGGACAAUGGGCGCAAGCCUGAUCCAGCCAUUCCGCGUGCAGGAUGAAGGCCCUCGGGUUGUAAACUGCUUUGUACGGAACGAAAAGGUUUCUCUUAAUACGAGGAGCUCAUGACGGUACCGUAACGAAUAAGACACCGGCUAACUACGUGCCAGCAGCCGCGGUAAAG